Molecule: ribosomal RNA, 274 nt
Filed under: uncultured bacterium
Lineage: Bacteria
Description: partial 16S ribosomal RNA
Rfam family: Bacterial small subunit ribosomal RNA
Source: RNAcentral
AUACGUAUGGUGCAAACGUUGUUCGGAAUCACUGGGCUUAAAGAGCACGUAGGCGGUUGAGAAAGUCUGAUGUGAAAUCCCUCGGCUUAACCGAGGAAUUGCAUUGGAAACUUCUUGGCUAGAGUGUAGGAGGGGAGAGUGGAAUUCCUGGUGGAGCGGUGAAAUGCGUAGAUAUCAGGAGGAACGCCGGAGGCGAAAGCGACUCUCUGGCCUGCUACUGACGCUGAGGUGCGAAAGCUAGGGGAGCGAACGGGAUUAGAAACCCCAGUAGUCC